GAGAACAAAAUGUUUGAAUUAUAUAGGGAA
This 30-nucleotide non-coding RNA is filed under the name Mus musculus (house mouse). The record is from RNAcentral. Lineage: Eukaryota; Metazoa; Chordata; Mammalia; Rodentia; Muridae.